This 301-nucleotide ribosomal RNA is filed under the name uncultured bacterium. Its description in RNAcentral is "partial 16S ribosomal RNA". It matches the Rfam family "Bacterial small subunit ribosomal RNA", at positions 509 to 809 of the family's 1533-position model. The record is from RNAcentral.
CAGCAGCCGCGGUAAUACGGAGGAUCCAAGCGUUAUCCGGAAUCAUUGGGUUUAAAGGGUCCGUAGGCUGUCUUGUAAGUCAGUGGUGAAAGCCCAUCGCUCAACGGUGGAACGGCCAUUGAUACUGCAGGACUUGAAUUAUUGGGAAGUAACUAGAAUAUGUAGUGUAGCGGUGAAAUGCUUAGAGAUUACAUGGAAUACCAAUUGCGAAGGCAGGUUACUACCAAUUGAUUGACGCUGAUGGACGAAAGCGUGGGUAGCGAACAGGAUUAGAUACCCGAGUAGUCCCUGUCUCUUAUAA